GAUGAACGCUGGCGGCGUGCGUAACACAUGCAAGUUGAACGACGGUGUCAUGAAGUGGUAACACGGAAUGGCAUACGGAGUAGCGGACGGGUGAGUACAACAUGAGAAGCUGUCCUUCAGUGGGGGACAACGUCUGGAAGCGGACGCUAAUACCCCAUAGGCCGAGAGGUUAAAGCAGAGAUGCGCUGGAGGAGGUGCUCGUGCCCUAUCAGCUGGUUGGUGAGGUAACGGCUCACCAAGGCGACGACGGGUAGCCGGCCUGAGAGGGUGAACGGCCACACUGGAACUGAGAUACGGUCCAGACUCCUACGGGAGGCAGCAGUGGGGAAUAUUGGGCAAUGGGAGAAAUCCUGACCCAGCGACGCCGCGUGAACGAUGAAGGCCUUAGGGUUGUAAAGUUCUUUUAUGUGGGAAGAAGGAAGUGACGGUACCACAUGAAUAAGCCCCG
Molecule: ribosomal RNA, 448 nt
Filed under: Synergistetes bacterium oral taxon 363
Lineage: Bacteria; Thermotogati; Synergistota
Description: bacterial SSU rRNA
Rfam family: Bacterial small subunit ribosomal RNA
Source: RNAcentral